RNAcentral lists this ribosomal RNA (406 nucleotides) under uncultured bacterium. RNAcentral's name for it is "partial 16S ribosomal RNA". It matches the Rfam family "Bacterial small subunit ribosomal RNA", at positions 28 to 526 of the family's 1533-position model. The record is from RNAcentral.
GACGAACGCUGGCGGCAGGCCUAACACAUGCAAGUCGAACGAGUGGCGGACGGGUGAGUAAUGUCUGGGAAUCUAGCUUAUGGAGGGGGAUAACUACGGGAAACUGUAGCUAAUACCGCGUACCAUAGGAUGAGCCCAAGUGGGAUUAGGUAGUUGGUGGGGUAAAGGCUCACCAAGCCGACGAUCGCUAGCUGGUCUGAGAGGAUGACCAGCCACACUGGAACUGAGACACGGUCCAGACUCCUACGGGAGGCAGCAGUGGGGAAUAUUGCACAAUGGGGGCAAGCCUGAUGCAGCCAUGCCGCGUGAAUGAAGAAGGCCUUCGGGUUGUAAAGUUCUUUCAGUAGCGAGGCGUUACCUGCAGAAGAAGCACCGGCUAACUCCGUGCCAGCAGCCGCGGUAAUAC